UCUCUGGUAGCUCAGAUGGUAAAAGGAUCUGCCUCCAGUGCAGGAGACCCGGGUUCAAUCCCUGGGUGGGGAA
Molecule: transfer RNA, 73 nt
Filed under: Ovis aries (sheep)
Lineage: Eukaryota; Metazoa; Chordata; Mammalia; Artiodactyla; Bovidae
Rfam family: tRNA
About the family: Transfer RNA (tRNA) molecules are approximately 80 nucleotides in length. Their secondary structure includes four short double-helical elements and three loops (D, anti-codon, and T loops).
Source: Rfam by way of RNAcentral